This 392-nucleotide ribosomal RNA is filed under the name Excirolana mayana. RNAcentral describes it as "partial 12S ribosomal RNA". It matches the Rfam family "Bacterial small subunit ribosomal RNA", at positions 768 to 1418 of the family's 1533-position model. Lineage: Eukaryota; Metazoa; Arthropoda; Malacostraca; Isopoda; Cirolanidae. The record is from RNAcentral.
UAAACCGGGAUUAGAUACCCCGCUAUACGGGGGAGUCCCCUAAGGGGGGUAGUAUCGGCUACGGCCCCCAAACCCAAAGAACUUGGCGGCAACCCAUCCUACUAGAGGAGCCUGCCCCGUAACCGAUAUCACCCGUUAACUCCGGCCCCCAGUAUGUCUGUAUACCGCCGUCUAACCCCUAGCUACGAAGGUGGGGUGUCAAGGUCACCACCAAAGACAGGUCGAGGUGCAGCGGAUCUGGGGGGGGUGGUGGGCUACAAUUCCUGUGGGGCGGACCCCCCCCUACCGGGGGGGGGCAAGAUGGAUUUAGUACUACCUGAGGGUUAACACCCCCUGGGGAAAUGGGUCUGGGUCGUGUACAUAUCGCCCGUCACUCUCAACAAACUUGAGAU